GUCACCUGGGGGGCAGGGAAAAGCAGACGUCAGUGAUGUCAAGAAGCGUUCGCCGAGGGCCAAUAAGAGCGCCGCGUGCGCAGCCGGGCCAAGCCGAUUGGGCGCGGAGCCGCCGGAGGCGUAGCUAACGGUAGGUGGGAGGAGAGCGGAGCCUGCGCCGAGGGGUCCGCUCCUCGCUCCCGCCCCCGCCCCCGCCUCCCGCGGCUCCGCGUCUCCCGUUGCAGCUCGACUUCCUGGGGCCCGCCGUUCACUGAGCCCAGAGCCCACCCCCACCCCCACCGCGGAGACGGGCGACCAGAAUUGGGGCACGUGGGCGGCUCGUAGCCGUAACCGUCCGGCCUCAGAGCACACACUAAACAGCCCGAGGACGGAGCUGCGCCCGCGGAGGCAGCGAGGCCGAAGGGGAUGUGGGGGUAGACUAAGGCUAGAACGGGUGUACACGGCCCGGCACAGCGGCCCCGCCCCCCGCCCUGCAGCUGCUCGCCAUCCUCGGCUUCCUUCCUUCGGCUCGUCCACAACGUCCCCUCGCUGCCGGAAGCAGCUUCCCAAGAGAACUCAUCAGACACAAAGCAGGACGUGCCCACACAAGAGCCCAAAGCGCAAGGUAAAGGGUCAACGCCUGGCACAGGAUGAGGCGGGCUCCGAGAGAGGCGAUUGCUCGGCCAGCCCCGCGUAGGAGCUCCAGCCCGACAAACCCUUUCAGGGGAGCCUGCCUCUGUUUUCUCCAGGGUCAUAUGAGGAUGCUAGAAGCACCAAAUGACCUUUGUACACAGUAGGCACUUAAUGGAUGCAGCCCAGACAGCAAAGACAUCUAGGAAGGUUGGUCCAGAGAUCCAACAGCAGCUUCUGUCAAGAUGGGAUUAAUGUAGUACCCCCUCCCCCCCCUUUAUCCAGGCACAUCGAUGUGGUGAGAUGCUUCUCCCUGAUGCACAAACUCCUCAUUGCUUUUCAAAUUAAGUGCUGCAAAAGCACUUUCAAUUCAGCAUUUAUUCAGCACCUGCUGUAUGCAGAGGAGAAAAGGCAGGCUCACUCCCAGCUGGGAGGAUAGGGAGCAGUAUGCAGAGACCAGGUCGUGCACCACCCUCAGCCAAGCUAUCCCAGGCUCAGGGUGCCUGGGGAGAACCUCUGCAUUCUUGGCAGGGCCUUGAAACAAGGUCAGCCGAGCCAUUCGAA
Molecule: long non-coding RNA, 1173 nt
Organism: Sarcophilus harrisii (Tasmanian devil)
Lineage: Eukaryota; Metazoa; Chordata; Mammalia; Dasyuromorphia; Dasyuridae
Exons: 2
Source: RefSeq, a predicted model, not a curated record